CUCUAAUAUUAUUUGAGAUUAUAUAUUUCAAGGAAUAUAUACAGUAAAGUAUUAGAUAUUAAAGAGAUUUAUUCCAUCCUAGAGAUUAGCUAGGUAAACAUGAAGCAGUAUAAUUUGUAUUAGUAAAUUUAAAAUAU
Molecule: non-coding RNA, 137 nt
Filed under: human gut metagenome
Description: RT-14 RNA
Rfam family: RT-14 RNA
About the family: Cloacimonetes, Firmicutes, Proteobacteria. Nearby to self-splicing intron genes
Source: RNAcentral